RNAcentral lists this long non-coding RNA (658 nucleotides) under Elaeis guineensis (African oil palm). Its description in RNAcentral is "long non-coding RNA (EGUI_LNC017567)". Lineage: Eukaryota; Viridiplantae; Streptophyta; Magnoliopsida; Arecales; Arecaceae. The record is from RNAcentral.
CGAUUUCGAUUACGAACCAAACGCUUCGGAGGAUUUGAUCAUUUCAAUUUCAAUUUCAAAUCAUUCUGAUUUUUAUUUUCAUUUCGAUUUACGAACCAAACACUCCCUUAGAUUAAGAUUCACCAUCCGUCUUGGAAUAAUAUAAAGACAACUUUGUCCUUUUAAAACUAUUUAGAGGGUGUUUGGUUGGUAACCGAAAUCAGAAUGAAAAUAAGAAUCGGAAUAGUUUGGAAUCGAAAUUAGAAUAAUUUGGAAUCAAAAUCGGAAUCGGAAUAGUCAAAUCCUCCAAAGCAUUUGGUUCGUGAUCGAAAUCGAAAUUGGAAUGAAAAUUUGAAUCCAUAGAGAAGAGUACGGAUUGAGUUCUAUAUAGAUUGAGCCAUUCCUAUUCUCCUCUGGAAUCGAAAUUGAAAUGGGACUCUUUCCAACCAAACGGUUAGAAUGGGAGUCACCUAUUUCGAUUCUGAUUUCAGACCCCCACUUCUUCCAACCAAACAUCCCCUUAUUUUUAGAGAUUAAUUUUUUUUUUUCUCCCUCCAAAUCUCGUGAUACACAUGUUGAAUAACAAGUAUGUGUAUAGUUAUGUAUAUCGUCAAAAAAAUAUUUUCCACUUUUUUUUAAUAAAAGGGAGAAAAUCAUUCCAGCUGCAUCAAGUAAACGA